RNAcentral lists this ribosomal RNA (142 nucleotides) under Ctenophora environmental sample. RNAcentral describes it as "partial Bacterial large subunit ribosomal RNA". It matches the Rfam family "Bacterial large subunit ribosomal RNA", at positions 1314 to 1456 of the family's 2925-position model. The record is from RNAcentral. Lineage: Eukaryota; Metazoa; Ctenophora.
AAGGUCGGUGAAAACCCGACCCGCCGAAAGCCCAAGGAUUCCUGUCCAACGACGAUCGUGGCAGGGUUAGUCGGGCCUAAGUCAAGGCCGAAAGGCGUAGACGAUGGACAGCUGGUUAAUAUUCCAGCACCACACCAAAAUC